Molecule: transfer-messenger RNA, 267 nt
Filed under: Pseudorhodobacter sp.
Lineage: Bacteria; Pseudomonadati; Pseudomonadota; Alphaproteobacteria; Rhodobacterales; Paracoccaceae
Description: partial transfer-messenger RNA
Rfam family: Alphaproteobacteria transfer-messenger RNA
About the family: Bacterial tmRNA, also known as 10Sa RNA or SsrA, is named for its dual tRNA and mRNA-like properties. Its role is to liberate the mRNA from a stalled ribosome. To accomplish this part of the tmRNA is used as a reading frame that ends in a translation stop signal.
Source: RNAcentral
GGACCCGGGGGCGGUACCCGGCGACUCCACCAUUCCACCCGCUCAUUUCGGGGGUUAGGGGUCGAAAUAGGAUCGACGAACGUCUAAAGAGGCCAGCUUUUGCUCGGUGAGGUACCACCGUUAUCGGUCCGAAACGUACAGUUGCAAAUGACAACCGUGCUCCGAUGGCAAUGGCCGCGUAAGCGACCGGAACUAUCGAAAACUAAGUCCUUUCGCUUAGCAGCGUAAGGCGGGGCCCGCAGGAGCCUGGCAACAGAAUCCUGCACU